AAUUCAUCACUCCAUGAAAAUCAUGCAUGUGAAGAUUCGCAAUGGAUACAAGGGGAUAGAUAGAUAGCCUCUCCUCAAGAGUAGCUCCUAGCCAAUCAAAACAGGGAUUCAGAUAUUCCCGAAGGUGAAGGAGAUCAAGAACGGCCGAGCUGAAGGAGAAGGAGAUCAAGAACGGCCGUCUCGCCAUGUUCUCGAUGUUCGGGUUCUUUGUUCAGGCCAUUGUCACUGGAAAGGGUCCAUUGGAGAACCUGGCUGACCACCUUGCAGAUCCAGUGAACAACAACGCUUGGGCCUAUGCCACCAACUUUGUGCCCGGAAAGUGAUUCUUCUUUCCUUUCUUGUUUUUGGUGUCGUUUUGUGAUAAGGGUUUGUGAGAGCGAUGGAGUUGUGUGGGUUGUGUAGUGAUGGUCUUGCAUUUUUAUUUUUUUAUUUUUGAACAUUCCAAUUAAUGAUGUAAAUUUGGAGGAUUCUUGAGAGCUUCUAAUAUUUAACCUAGAUUUUGGGUAAUAAGAUAUUUUCGUUUUUUUCAUAUUUUUCUUAGUCCUUUUUUGGCUGAAUUUGUCACAAAUUCAUUGAAAACUUCACUACAGUUAUGUUUAAAAAGACAAAUAAUUGUGCCUUAAGAACGGAUGAAUUGAGAGAGCACAGUAUUUUGGGUUGAGCCAAAGCAUAUGGGAAAGUUAUUUUCCAUGGUAUUGAUUGGGAAGAUUAAAAUCGCUCCCAUAUGAAUGUGGGGCACUUUUUUAUCUGAAAGGAAAAAAAUAUCCCACUGGAAUAUACCAUUUCUUGAAGUUUGUCUUUGGUGCAUUCGGAAACAAACUUCAUUAGUGAAGGAGUUUUUUGCUGGAGCCAUUUGUUCUUCUUCGAACUUGGGUUUGAUACUUCUUGUACCCGGAAUAAUCCAUAUCUAGCACAGGAAAGUGUGUUCACUGAGUGUGAAGGUUUUGUCGGAAUCUCUUUCAUCGCAUCCAUCCAAUGGCAAUACCGGACAGCAGAGGUUUGCCAUUUCCUCUGUUUGGAAUCUCUAUCAAACUUUUUGAUCGAUUUUCCAACAUUUGAUGAAUUUUUAUCUUUGGAACUUCCAAGAAACAAGUGCUUCCAUGUAGCAGGCCAAUGUUCUCCAUUAGAAAUGCUCAUUUUUUAGGAAUUAAAUCCUUAGUGAACUAUCUGACUUCCUCAAAUGAGUUGCAGGGAUCUUACUCCUAAGUAUCACUACCAAGAUAAAAAAUACAUGACAAGAAGUUAAGCUGGUUUCCAAUCAACUAGGUUCGGACUAAUUUGGCCUCCCACUAUUUUCAUUUAAAGUUUUAAAACUAACAAUCAAAUUGAACCCCUAAAGAUAGUCAGAUUUCAUAUGACAGUUAUACACAAGAUAAAGGAAUUACAAAGCUCUUCUUAUUCUUUGCUUUCAAUUUUAAUAAUGAAUUGGGGUUUUCAAAGAAUCAUCCCUAAAAUAUUGAGAUCCAUAAUUUAACACUUUCCUUUUCUUUUAUUGAACUUUUAAAACACUUGUGUUCAUAAAUUGUGGGAGAGACAACUUCCUAUUUUUUUACACUGGGGCCAUCUUCCUAUUUGCCCUCUCCAUCACAACAACACGUCAAAACAAGAGUGGUUCCAAGCGGUGAUCCCAAACAUGAAUAUUGCGAUGCUUGCAAACAUUAAUAUGAUAUUGUUAUUCCAAAGGGAAGGCUUUCUACGUGACCCACCCAUAUAUAUAGUAGAUGUGAUCCCUAGUCUCAGCCAUCAGAUCUAAGUAGAUAACUUAGAGUCACAAUGUCACAAAUUGAUUUUUAAUUGCCAGAUCUUGAUCGGAUGGCUCAUAGUUUUUUAUUUUAAAAUUUUCUUCUAUAAAUCAGUUUAAAGGAAAAUCUGGGGCAUGCAUAGAUAUGACAGAGGCGCAUAUGAUAAAAAUAAUAAUAAAAUCUUUUCGAUGAUAAAAAAUUACCAAAAUACCCCUAAAAAUUGUAGGGGCAUUUUGGUUAUCUAUUUUUAUAGAAAAUAUUUUUUUUUUAUUUUUCCUAGGUUUGCCCUAUUUUUAUGCUAGGACGCCCAAAAUUUCAUCUAAAAAUAUUUGGGUAUGAAUAAUUAUAGCCAUUCGAUUCAGAUCGAACUGCUAAAAAUUGGGGUAAUAUACAACAUGUAUGUUGUUGGGGCCAUAUAACACCAAUAAGUACUAGAAAUUGGUGUUUCAAAAGACCAGUACUUUGGGAUAAUUUAAUAGACUUCCCUAAUAAAUAAUUGGGAACACAUAAUUUUUUAUUAUCAACCUCAAAAUUUGCCUAAACUUAGUUCAAAAUAGCCCACUAUCUUUGCCUGUACCAAUCUUUUAAGGGAUUGUAUACAAUGAGAUCAUUUAUCUUUGAUACGAGGAGGAUGCAAUUACUUAUAAGCAUCUUUGAUAUGAGGAGGUUACAAUUAUUUAUAACCAUCUGACAUAAAAUUCGAUAGCUUAGGUGUGUCACAAAUCUUGAGGAAUUUUCUUUUAAAGUUUGAGCUUGGUCAAUAAAAUAAAUACGACCAUCCAAAUUCACAUCCAAUAGUCAAAAUUAAUUUUGACCAUCGUGUACCAAAGAUAAAUGGUCUCAUUGUAUACUUUCUCAUCUUUUAAAAUUGCCGACCCACCACCCUGACCACUUAGCCUUGAGUCCAUUCAUAAAAAGUAAAUUAAUUCCAAAAUCCCUCCGGAAUGGAUUUUGAAGUGUGGACUCACUACAAUAAAUGCUUCCUCAGUCUAUCCAUAAAAUUUUGGCCACUUCCUCCAUAUAAUUUCCCCAUCAAAAUAAGUAAAACCUCACCUCAAAACUCAUGAAAAAUUGUAGUUCUAGCAUUGGAGAACCUUUGAAUGUAUCAUCUCGACCUUGACCAUUACAGUUCUGAAAAGAAAUUAAUUUCAACCCUUUAGUAUGUUAUAACAUAUUAUCUAGACCAUCAGUUUCAAGUAUUCAUGGAUAUGCAAGAUUUUUACCAAUUUACAAGGUAUAAAUUUCAUAUCAUCGGUAAAAACUGAUUUUAGAGCCAUCAUAGAGAUUUAUGACUCCAAAAUAUCCGGACGAGGUUUCAAGGUGAGGCUUUAUUUUUAUUGUUUUUAUGCACUAGCCCUUAUAACUUAUAAACCACUCAACGGUAUUUGUUAACAAGGUUUUGGCCCCUGGCACAUAAGCGGAAUUCAAAACAUAUAUGGUGCAGCUAGAAACUCGUAUUGUAUCUUGUUCUGUUCAUACGUACUCCACUCACCGCACAUCAAUUUCACAUCAAGCCACGAAAAAAAACAAAGAACAAAUAGACUGAUGAAUUUCACUUGGAGCCACGGAAAACUAAAACAGAAAAAGGAGAAAAGAAAAGAAAAAUAUGUGUACAAGCCAUCACUACAUGAAAAAUCACAUCUGGAGGUAACUGUGGGGUCUGUCGAGGAGAUGUGACACCCACUCUACCCCAGUGGCAGCUUCGAUCCCUUGGGCCUGGCCGAGGACCCUGAGGCCUUUGCCGAGCUGAAGGUGAAGGAGAUCAAGAACGGCCGGCUUGCCAUGUUCUCGAUGUUCGGGUUCUUUGUUCAGGCCAUUGUCACUGGAAAAGGUCCAUUGGAGAACCUGACUGACCACAUUGCAGACCCAGUGAACAACAAUGCUUGGGCCUAUCUUUGUUACCGGAAAGUGACUCUUCUUCCAUUUCUUGGUGUUGUUUUGUGAAAAGGGUUUGUAAGAGUGAUCGAAUUGUGGGUUGUGUAGUGAUGGUCUUGUAUUCUUGUCCCUUUUUUUUUGACAUUCCAAUGAAUCAUAUAAAUUUGAAGGAUUCUUGAGAGCUUCUAAUGUUUAACAUGCAUUUUGGUUAGUAAGACAUUUUACUUUUUUUUACCAUAUGUUUCAUAGUCUUCUUUUGGCUGAAUUUGUCACCAAUUCAUUGAAAAUUUCACUAUGAUUUAUAUUUAAAAGGAUGAACAACUCUGGCUUAAUUACGGAUGAAUUGAGAGGGCACAGUAUUUUGGGUUGAGCCAAAGCACAUGGGAAAGUUAUUUCUCAUGAUAUUGAUCGGGAAAAUUAAAACUGCUCCCAUAUGAACGCGGGGGCACUUUUUAAUCUGAACGAAAAAAAAAAAAAUGCCCCCAUUAGAAUACACCAUUUCUCAUGGUUGUUUUUGGUGCAUUCAGAAGCAAAAUUUAUUUAUCAGUGAAGGAAGUUUUUGCUGGAGCCAUUUGUUCUUGUUCCAAGUAGGGUAUAAUACUACUUGUACCCAAAAUAAUCGAUGUCUAGCAAAGGAAUAUGUGUUCACUGAGUGUGAAGGUUUUUUCGGAAUCUCCGUGUCACUGAAUCCAUCCAAUGGCCUUAGCGGACAGCAGAGGUGAGGUGUGCCAUUUCCUCUGUUUGAUCUAUUUUCCAACAUUUGAUGGAUUUUUAUCUCUGAAACUUCCAAGAAAACAAGUUCUUCCAAGUAGCAGGCCAUUGUUCUCCAUUAGAUAUGGUUAUUAUUUAGGAAUUAAAUCCUUAGUUAACUAUUUGACUUCCUCAUAUGAGUUGCAGGGAUCCUACACCCACUUAUCGUGACCAAUAUAAAAAAUGCAUGACAACGGUCCCAAUCAACUAGGUUCAGACCAGUUUGGCCUCUCACUAUUAUCAUUUAAAGUCUUAAACCAAUAAUCAAAUUGAACCCUGAAAGUACAGCCAGAUUUCAUAAUGACAGUUUUACAAAAGAUAAAGGGAUUACAAAGGUCUUCUUAUGCUUUGCUUUUUAUUUUAAAAAGGAAAAUUGUUUCAUGCGGGCUCGACUGUAUUUCUAUAAUAUGCGUCCAGAGGCAUGAAGCAUCCAUCUUAAAGAUGGAUGCAAAUUGGUGGUCCAUCUAACUACAUGUGUAACUAACGAUCCAAUUAUUUUCUUGACAUAUUAUUAUUUUUAAUUUUUAAUUUUAUUUUAUUUUUCAUAUUCAUGAUCUCCAUGUUAAAUAUUAUAUAUUUUUUAAAAAUUAGGAUCAAAUUAUAUCUAAAAAAUAUAUUUAUUGCCAAGCUCGCAUUUCUACAAUAUGCAGGCUCGCCACGUAGAAACCUUGUCCUAUUAAAAAUGAAUGGGGGAUUUUAAAGAAUCAUCCCUAAAAUAUUGAGAUCCAUGAUUUAACACUUUCACCUUUCUUUUGAUAAAUUUUUUUAAGUCUUCUAAAGCACUUGUGUUCAUAAAUUGUGCGAAGGACAACUUCCUAUUUGGCUUCUUCAUCAGAACAACACGUCAAAACAAGAGUGAUUCCUGAGAGUUUAGUGAGAUAUUGGUGCUCCAAAACAUUUUCAUAUGAUAUUGUUAUUCCAAAGCACCAGUAACUGCUACAUAUUGGUGUUUCAAAAGACUGGUACCUUUUUUUUUUUCUGCUUUGACGAAGGGAAAAUUACACGUGUAUCCAUUAAGUGUUGUUACGAUUUUACCUAAAGUUUUAUCUUAUUAUAUUUACAAUUUUGGAUAUUACAUAUAUACACGUUCUUAGGAGCCGUGAAUAUUUUUUCUAAAAUUGCCCAAUUUUUUAAUCUACAAGAUCCGAAAUAAACAAAAAAUAAAACUUCAAGGUCUGAAAAUUUCCUUAUUUUCAAAUAUGUGGGAUCCGAAAUAAAAUAAAAUAAAAAAUCCGAUCCUUCAAAGUCCAAAAUUUCCCUAUUUUCAGAGCUUUAGGACCCAAAAUAUAAAACAUUCGGGCCUUCAAUAUCCGCAAACUAUUUCAGACCUUAAUGUUUUGAAAUGGUGUAUCGACAAUUUUGAUUGUUGAGUUUUCAAAUUUUUUACGAGAGUAAAUUGUGGAUUUUUUAAAAGAGCGAAGAUUGGAAAAAGUUUGCGCUAAUGUUUUUUUUUGGAAUCUAAAAUAUUUGUGGAGUGAUUUUACACAUCUCAUUGGUUGAGUUUCAUUUGUUACUUUUAAAUUUUGGGAAAAAAAAUCCGACUCCAAAAGUGUAGAUGUUUUAUUUUGUAAUUUUUGGAUUUUGAAAAAUCUGAAAAUAAAAGAAAAACUGGAUAUUGAAAAUCUGAAAAAUUCAAUCACAGGUAGUUCAUGUAAAAAAAAAAAAUUCGGCAUUUUGGAAAAUCCAAAAAAGGACAAUUUGGUAUUUUUAAAAAAUAUUGACAAAACAUUGUAGUAACGGAUAUAAAAUGGGUAGACUGGUAAUAACAAAACAAAUUAGGCGAAAUUCAAAUAACACAUUAAAUAAUGGAUUUAUGCGUAAUUUUCACUUUGAUAAACAAAAAAUAUAUGACUUGCUUAACACUUUUGAGAAUGGGUUAGGGUGGUGGUGGUAGCACCAUUUGUACCCUAGCUAAGAUAUAGGUUUCUAUUAUCAUUUAACGCAUUCAAAAACCACUAACGAUUUAAAAAACAGGUAGGGACUCGUCAUCCCCACUGAAUUACCUAAAAAAAAACAACAACAACAAAUUGUAUUCCAUAGUGAGUUAAACGUUUACAAGAUCAAUGCUAAUGCACUUAAAAGUGCAUCUCAAAUACUAGUAUUUUCCAACAACUAUAAAAAAUAUAUCACGGCAAAUAAAUUUUUACAUCAUAGCUUUUACAUUCAAAAUGCAAAAAUCUAUAAUCAAGGUUGUUCUCUUUGAAAUUUUGCUAAUAUUGAAAAUAUGAAACAAAAGUUAAUUCUUAAUUUUGGAUUUUCAAAUAUAUGGAAAACUAGAAAAGUCCUUAAUUUUGGAUUUGAGAUUUCGAAUACUUGAAACUUAAAAAAUAAAUUAAUUCCAAAAGUACUAGUUAUAGAUCCUGAUGGUCCCAAAUUUAAGCAAUUAGGUCAUUUUAAGAUAUGUUAAAAAAAAAAGAAAGAAUAUGAACAUAAUAACAGAAAAAUUUAAAUAUCAUAAAUUAUAGGGAAUAUAAAAGUAAAUCUCUCUAAAAUUUUAAACAAUUUUACUCCAUAUAUUUACUUAUUUUUUAUGUAAUAUUUCUCCGUAUCAACACUUUGUUUCCUUGGACACCACCCUAUGUGGCAUCCAACUCCUAAAUCCCCACACGCAAUAGGAUUCAAUCUCGCCAAGAUAGAAGAGGAUAGCAUAUCUGUGUGGAGAGCCCUACGUAGGGCCCCGCACUAGUUGCCAAAUCAGCAAUCAAUCAGCCAAUCAAAUGCGAGAUUAAAAUCCUGGGGGAUAAACGGAAGCCACUACAAACAUAUAUAAAAAAUGUAGAAUUACGGUGCACAUGAAAAAUCCACAAUAAAAAGUUAUUUUGAUAUUGAAAAAAGCAUCUCAACAUUGAGAUGUAUGAAAGCACUCGUUUUCAUAAAUUUUGUUAAAAGUGUUUGAAAGCACUUGGUUUCAUAAAUUGUGGGAGGCACAACUUCCUAUUGGGCCUUUUCAUAUCAAAACAAGAGUGGUUCCUUCCAUUGAUCAAAAACACCAAGAGUGGUUCCUGAGAGCAUCAAUUUUGUUUAGCGAGAUAUUGGUGCUCCAAAACAUUUGUAUGAUAUUGUUAUUCCAAAACACCUGUAAGUACUAGAUAUUGGUGUUUCAAAAGACUAUUACUUUUUUUUGACAAAGGAAAAAUUACACAUAUAUCCAUUAUUUUAAGUGCUAUUACAAUUUUACCUUAAAAUUUUCACUUAUGAUAUUCGUAAUUUUGGAUAUUUUCAUGUAUACCCAUUCUUAGGAGCUCGAAUGUUUUUUUUUUUUUCCAAAAUUGCCCUAUUUUUGGAUCUUUAGGAUCCAAAAUACAUAAAAAAUUUGAAACUUCAAGAUUUGAGAAAAAAAAAUCCGAACCUCCAAGUCCGAAAUUUGCCUAUUUUUGGAUCUUUGAGAACAUAAAUAUAAAACAUUUCGGACCUUCAAUAGCUGUAAACUAUUUCGGACCUUAAAGGUCCAAAAUUAUGUAUAGACAAUUUUGAGCAUUGAGUUUUCAUAUUUUUGACGGGAGUAAAUUGCAGAUUUUUGAAAAGAGAAAACAUUAAAAAAAGUUUGUGCUAACCCUUUUUUUUUUAUUAUUGGCUAAGAAUUCAAAUUAUUAUUUUGGGUAAUUAAUAUAAAUUAUUUGUGGAGUGAUUUUACACAUUUUAUUGGUGGAGUUUCAUUUGUCAAUUUUUUAUUUCGGAAAAAAAUUUCAGGCUUCGAAAUUGUAGAUUUUUUAUUUUGUAAUUUUUGGAUUUUGAAAAUCCAAAAAAAUCAACCAUAGCUCAUGCAAAAAAAAAUUUUGGAUCUUGAAAAUCCAAAAAAAGGCAAUUUGGUCAUCUUUAAGAAAUGUUGACAAAAUGUUGUAACAAUGGAUGUAAAUCGGCAAAGUAGUAAAAGGGAAAAUUUUAGGUGCAACUGUAGUAAGGCUUAAAAUAAUGGAUUUUGGUCCAAUUUUCCCAUUGUCAAACAUAAAAUAUAUGCUUUUGUUCUUUCAAACAACAAAUUGUACAGUAUAGGGAGUUAAAUGUUUACAAGAUCAAUGCUUAUGGUUUUAUAAAUGCAACUCUAAUACUGGUAUUUUCGAACAACUGUAAAAAUAUCUCACUGCAAAUAUAUUUUGGGAAAGGUUUCUAUGCUUCUCUUUCAACAUAGAACUUCUAUCCAACCCCUACCAUCCAGCCAUCUAAUUUUGAUCAUGAGAGCCACUCACCCUUUGAUCUUAGAUCCAACGCCUCAAAGUAUUUUAUUUUUAGUUUUUUUUAAUACAAAUUAUAUGAAUAUAAAAUUUGGUACAAUAUAGAAGUUAAAUCCUCCCCCUAUCAUCCAGCCAUCUAAUUUUGAUCAAGAGAGCCACUCACCGUUUGAUCUUAGAUCCGACGUCUCAAAGUAUUUUAUUUUUAGUUUUUUUUUAAUACAAACUGUAUGAAUAUGAAAUUUGGUAUGUGCCAUCGUCUCAUUGGGGUGCACCUAUAAAAAAUAUUAAAAAUAAUUUUUUGAUAAAAUAUAAUGACCAAAAUACCCCUUGAAACUUUCAAGGGUAUUUUGAUCAUUUUAUUUUAUUGAAAAUAUGUUUUUUUAUAUUUUUUUCUAGUGUGAGUUUAAUAGAAGAAUGGACAUCCAAAAUUUGGUGUCAAAAUAAUUUAUAGAAAAAAAAUUAAAAAUAAAGUAGUGUAGAGACAUGACAUUGUAAUUGGGGCAAUUUAGCCCUCUAUUCAGAACGGACAGUUGGAUAAGAGAGAGGAUAGAACUUCUAUGCUGUAGGGGAAGCAUAGAAAGUUUGCUCAUAUAUUUUUACAUCUUAGAAAGAUCAAGGUUGUUCUUUUUGAAAUUUUGCAAAUAUUGAAAAUGUGAAACUAAAAUUAAUUCUUAAUUAUGGAUUUUCAAAUAUAUGAAAAACUAGAAAAGAACUUAAUUUUGGAUUUGAAAUUUUGAAUAUUUGAAAGUAAAAAAUGAAUUAUUCCCAAAAGUGAUAGUUUUAGAUCAUGAAGUUCCCAAAAUUAGGCAAUUUAGUCAUUUUUAAAAAGGGUAUAUAUAUAUAUAUAUAUAUAUAUGGAAAAGGCUUCUGUGAGCUAAUGGACUCAAAAGAAAAAAUAGUCCAACGGCCCAAAUUGAAUCUGGGCCGAUCUAACAAUCGCGGAUGCCCGAUAGUGUUUGAAUUUUAAUUUUUUUUUCUACAAAUCCAAAUCACUUAAAAUUUUAGAUGUGUAUUGAAUAAAAAAAAAAAAAAAGGUGAAUAUUUGAAAAAUAUUAAAAAAUAUUUUAUAUGAAAAAUGAUCAAAAUACCCCUAUAAAUUUCCGAGGAUAUUUUGAUCAUUUUUAAUUUUUUGAAUUAUUUUUUUUAUAUUUUUAUUAGGUGUGCCUUGAUGAGAAGAACACACGCCUAAAAUUUCAAGUGAUUUGGAUUUGUAAAAAGAAAAUUCAAAUUUAAAGACUAUUGAACAUCUGUGAGCAUCAAAUCGGCCACAGAAUGGCCCAAAUUCAAUCUGGGCCAUUCUCGUAUGGGCGUAUGGGAUAAUCUAAACUUCACAACCCUUCCAAUUAUAAAAGUUAAAGAUAGAGAGUUGUGAAGGGCGGAUUUACUAAUUUUGUGGUCUAUUUUUUUUAAAAAGUUACUUUUUGUGAUAUCUUCAUCAUUAAGUAAGGGCAAUUUUGUAAAUAUUACUGGCAAUUUUGUAAAUAUUACUACUAGACAAGGGUUACUUUUCUCAUCUUCAUAAAGGGUAACGUUGAAAUUUUUACUAAAAGACAAGAGCACUCUACAAAUAAAAUUCCAAGACAAUAACUUUCAAAAUGCCGUUGUACUUUUAUAAAACUUUCAAAUUUGCCCGUGUUUAAUGGGUAAGUUACCCAUUAAAAUAGGUUUUUAAAUAAAAAAUAAUGAUCUUUUUGAUAAAUACGCCCAUCAUAACCUCUUCUAACUUUAAAAAACUAUGUUAGGGCCAUUUAUUUGAUCCAAAAUUUCAAAUAUACACCCUUUUCAUUCUAAUGAAGAAUCACAAAAAAGAAAAUUUGAAAAUGCAACCUAGAAAGUAUUUUUUUAGCCUAAUUAACAUAGGCUGUCCAUUUUGAUAAGAUGUUUAGAUCUAUGCCUUAGAAGAAUUUUUCUUUUCCAAUUUUUUUAGAUGGCUUUAUUAUCAUUAGAUAAACAAUGUUUAAAAGGAAAAAAAAUGAUUUUGAGUUUGUAGAGGCUAAGAUCUUGAAAUUCACCAAAUGAAUGGUCUAGAUUUGUUGUUGGAGGGGACUCAUUUUGACCAUAUCUAGGGUUCAAAUUGAAAUUUUCUUUUUUUUGGGAUUGAUUAUUUAGAUGAAGGGAGUGUGCGUGCAAAAUUGAUUAUCUAUAUAUAUAUAUAUAUAUAUAUAUAUAUAGUAAGGUAACUUAAUUNNNNNNNNNNNNNNNNNNNNGUGCCGGUAAGCACUCAAUCCCAGUUCGGAGGCGCUGUCCAUGGGAACGGUAGAGUGAGCAUGAGGAAGAGCGCGAGAAAGCCCUCAGUGUCCUCAGGGAGCCCGUGGUAUGGUCCUGAUAGAGUCAAGUACCUCGGCCCGUUCUCUGGGGAGUCCCCAUCCUACCUCACCGGAGAGUUCCCCGGUGACUACGGGUGGGACACCGCCGGCCUCUCUGCCGACCCCGAGACCUUUGCCAAGAACAGAGAGCUCGAGGUAAUCCACUGUAGGUGGGCCAUGCUCGGUGCUCUGGGGUGUGUCUUCCCAGAGCUCCUCUCUCGCAAUGGCGUCAAGUUCGGCGAGGCCGUGUGGUUCAAGGCUGGUGCUCAAAUCUUUAGUGAGGGUGGCCUUGACUACUUGGGGAACCCAAGCCUCGUGCAUGCUCAGAGCAUCUUGGCUAUCUGGGCCGCUCAGGUGAUCCUCAUGGGUGCUGUCGAGGGCUACCGUGUUGCUGGUGGCCCAUUGGGUGAGGUGACCGACCCACUCUACCCCGGUGGCAGCUUCGACCCCUUGGGCCUGGCCGAGGACCCUGAGGCCUUUGCAGAGCUGAAGGUGAAGGAGAUCAAGAACGGACGGCUCGCCAUGUUCUCGAUGUUUGGGUUCUUUGUUCAGGCCAUUGUUACAGGGAAGGGUCCAUUGGAGAACUUGGCUGACCACCUUGCUGACCCAGUGAACAACAACGCUUGGGCCUAUGCCACCAACUUUGUGCCCGGAAAGUGAACCACGAGUGAAUGCAUGUUCGAAUGUAACCUGAUU
This 11541-nucleotide long non-coding RNA is filed under the name Amborella trichopoda. Its description in RNAcentral is "long non-coding RNA (ATRI_LNC001997)". The record is from RNAcentral. Lineage: Eukaryota; Viridiplantae; Streptophyta; Magnoliopsida; Amborellales; Amborellaceae.